GCCGCGCCACUCCACCACAAUGGCCCGGCAGACUGACAAGAAAGGAUGUAAGACCGCCGGGACGUGCGGUGCGGCAGUGUGGAGACCUGCCGUAAUGGGACCGAGGACGCUCCCCGGCCCUGAGGCGAGCGCCGCGGAGGCGGGCCCGCUAACGUCUGGAGCAUGGCA
RNAcentral lists this non-coding RNA (168 nucleotides) under chicken gut metagenome. RNAcentral describes it as "malK-I RNA". It matches the Rfam family "malK-I RNA". The record is from RNAcentral.